CCUGCCCAAUGGUUGUAUCUAAAAGCGGUUGAUAAAAGUCGACCGCGUAAGGACAAUUGAAUGGCCGCGGUAACACUGACCGUGAUAAUGUAGCGUAAUCAAUAGCCAAUUAAUUGUUGGCCAGUAUGAAUGGCGCCACGAAGGCCCCACUGUCUUAAGGAAAUUCCCAGUGAAAUUGAAUUCGUAGUGAAGAUGCUACGUCCAAUUUGUUAGACGAAAAGACCCCGUUGAGCUUUACUGGGGCACUUACACGGCCCCGGCCUUCAAGACUGGGUUGAUAAGCCAAGGCUUACCAUACCUAGGGACCGGCCGAAUUUAAAUGGGSGGCUUAGACUAUGUGGCAGCCCCCCCCGUCGGGGCAGAUGAAACCCCACUCCCCCAUGUCAAAGGGGCUAACCCCCCCCCCCUUGGGGGGGGACAAUGUAAGUAGGACAGUUUGGUUGGGGCGACCGCCUUUUAGAGAGUAACGAAGGUGCGCUUAAGGUGCGUAAUUAAUGACUGAAGCCUGACUGCGAGGGGGACACCCCGAGCAGACACCCCCAAGCCCGCCCGAGAAGGCUUUGCCUUCUGGGCGGCGGUGGGGUGG
This 586-nucleotide ribosomal RNA is filed under the name Umimayanthus chanpuru. RNAcentral describes it as "partial 16S ribosomal RNA". It matches the Rfam family "Bacterial large subunit ribosomal RNA", at positions 1858 to 2423 of the family's 2925-position model. Lineage: Eukaryota; Metazoa; Cnidaria; Anthozoa; Zoantharia; Parazoanthidae. The record is from RNAcentral.